Molecule: long non-coding RNA, 2720 nt
Organism: Cavia porcellus (domestic guinea pig)
Lineage: Eukaryota; Metazoa; Chordata; Mammalia; Rodentia; Caviidae
Exons: 3
Source: RefSeq, a predicted model, not a curated record
GAUGACAAGGACGGCGCCUUUCUGUAGGAUGGGAGGGCGCCGGCCUGCUGUCCCAGGACUGGGGGAAACACGCUGGGCACGGACCAGGGAAGACAAGCGGAGCCCGCAGGUGGAGGGACAAUGACCAGGAGCAGCGACGGAGGUGGACGUGGGGAGGUUAACGGAGGGAGGAGCCCAGGCUUGAAUUGGCCACUUUCUCCCUUAAAAUUGAAAAUUGACUCAUGUGAGGGAGGAAGCAGAGGCGUGGGCGGUUAAGGAGAGAGGGGAGGUCAGGACCCACAUGCACAGGCCACAGCGCAGCACCGGGGCACAGCUGCAGCGGGGACCCCUCCCCCAGCCAAGCCCGGCAGUCCGCUCUGGAAGCAAGAAGAAGGACCGUGGGAUUUGUCCAGGGUCUCUCGGAUGCCGGACGUGGUGGUGCAUGCCUGUGUCCCAGAACUAGGGAGCUGAGGAAGGAGGAUCACUUUGAAUCAAAGGCCAGCCUGGUCUACAUGGGUUUGCGUGCUUGCCUGGAAAGGUUUGCAUGGCUUGACGUGAGCAGGCGGGAGUUUGAUGGUCUGCAGUUCUCAGUGUCACCCCGCAGUCGCUCCUCGACUUCUCUGCCAUCUUUAAUGGCUCCUGUGCUUCAACAGGUGAGACACGAAGCCCACCGUACAAGACAAUGCUUGGUGCUCAUGACUGUGGGACCCAGGACUGUUCUCAUUCCCGGAGGAGAAAGUGGAUGAAGAAAAUAGGAAAUUAGUAGCACCGAGCCUACGAUGCGAGGGCAGGCCGAAUCCCAGGCUCACAUGGUGUCCUGGGGAGUCUAUUCCGCCGCUCCUGGGCUGCCUUCUCUCGCGUCCUGCUCCUUUACCAGACUCCAGGUUGGCUGCUGAAAGCUCCAGAUUCAUACCUGACAACUCAGGCAGUGAAACACACUUCUUCUUCUGUAGCCAAGUGAAAACCCUGAGAACGGAAUGCUGAGCCCACACAGGGAAGAUGUCCAUGCGCGAGUCACCAACACCAGGACGCUGACCCACCCGCCCUGGGCGUGAAACCUGACUGUCCCCUAGACCCCUGGGCUGGGAGCCAGGGAGGGAUGGGGAAGUCGGGAAACCACGGUGAAAGAGGGGACAAGGCGCCUCUGCCUUGCCUCGUUUCCUUCCACUGAGGCUGCGGGGGCGCCUUCCUCUCCCUUGAGCAUCCAAGGGUCAUCAUCUCUGUGGAGCACAAGGUGCCACCCACAUGGCUACUCUCUCACGAACACUCCCUACCUUAUUUUGGAUGGAGGCCACCACCCCUCAUCGUGCGGAUCUCUUUAAUUCUCUUUUUUAGUGUCUAUUUUCUUUGUGUACUUCUGUGGUGUAAUUUACUUGCCUAUUGUGUGUAUUGUUAUUUUGUGACCAAAACAUUUUCCCUCCCUCUCGAAUCUUCAUGAAGCCCACCAGAAAGGCACUGUUGACCCACACAAGGUUCCCUGGCAUCAGAAAGUGAUCGGCUAGUGUUGUGCACUAGAUUGAGCUCAGGCUAAGAGGCCAGCUGCGGUGUAGCUGGGUACACCAGAUGUCUUAUCUGGUAGACCACUGAAAGAGAGGUUCAGUCUUUGUAUUUUACAGCUCAUUUUAGAAGGAGAGACCUUAGUCACCUAGGCUAACAUCAGGGUGCACGAUGGGCCUAUGUGUGGACAGCUCUGGCUUUGCAUUUGGGGUUCUCUUUCCAUUUACCUGAGCCAGUGUCUGGCUUCUCUCUGGGACCCGAACAGGAUUGAGUUGAUCCAGGGGAGCUCUGGAGCCCAAAGCCCACUUUCCAUUUGGUUUCAUGAGGAAUAAAUGUUUGCUCCUCGCUCUGCUGGGGCUGAAGCAGUUGGCAUGUGCUGUGGUGAGGUGCAAAGUGGGCUCGGUCAGCAGUGGGUGGGAUGACCCAGAGCCUCCUGGAAGGAAGCUGCCGGCAUUUGGAAGAACUCAUGCCCGGAAGCACUGCCCAGGGUUAGUCCUUCGGUGCUUUUGAGAGGGCUUCACUCUAACUCAACAGUGGAUAAGCUAAGUGGUGCAGGGCGAAAGCAGAAUGGAGGAGGUGACCCUGAAUUAACACCAAGGCUGUCUUGCCCCGGAGAGCUCCAGGACACAGAUCCUUGGGAAUGUCUGUCCUUGCCAGUGACCUCGAGUGUUUAUCUAGCUGUCCGCUGAAGGUUCACCCUGACAUUUCAGCAGCGAGGCAGAGCUUAGGGAUUUACGGUGUUGGUUUGGGCAAGAGAAAGGGGCCCCUCCCUGGGGCUCAGCAAGAAACACAGUGCAGGAAACCCCCGUUGUCUCACACCACGCAACGUGGGGGCUGAGCUCCCCACCCCGUGAGUGUCCCCAAGGUGACCACGUGGAGGUCAGCCACAGGCAGCCCCUUGUGCCCUGACAAGGAGCUCAGGGAGGUAGGAAGGAGGCAGGAACCAGGCAGAGGAUGCUUCCUGUGCAGAGAUCUCUGCCUCGACAGAGAGGGCGGUAGGAAAGGGUGGUUUAAGGGAGAAAAUGCUUCUCUGUGCAUUCAAAGAGAAUUUUAAAAACCGUUUAGUAAUGAGGAAGUAUCUGUGCAGAGCCGGGAGGGACAGAUAGGAAGAGAUGCCCGGGGGGAGGAGAUCUCUGCUUUCCAAUUGACCACACUCUACACUGUUUGCUUAAAUUAUCUUUCAUAUCUAUUGUUUUUUAAUGGAAACAUUUACAAAAGGCUGCUUUAAUUAAAACAAAACAAGU